AAAGUCGUAACAAGGUCUCCGUAGGUGAACCUGCGGAGGGAUCAUUAACAAAUACUGGCACAUUCGAGAAGAAGAAGCUGCGUCAGCAGGUUCCUUCUUCUCCAAUGUGUCUAACACAUGUUGCCACAUGUUGAGAAUUCUUGGUGACGACACCUUGAGAAAUCUUGGUCUCGACACAAUAGGGGUUACACCACAUGUGGCAUACAUAUCCUACAUUUACAUUUCAACACACAACAUUCAAGAAAAUUCAGAACAACUUUUAACAAUGGAUCUCUUGGCUCUU
Molecule: unclassified non-coding RNA, 283 nt
Filed under: Ascomycota sp.
Lineage: Eukaryota; Fungi; Ascomycota
Description: partial contains small subunit ribosomal RNA, internal transcribed spacer 1, and 5.8S ribosomal RNA
Rfam family: Eukaryotic small subunit ribosomal RNA (bases 1-47)
Source: RNAcentral